GGACCCGCACAAGUAGUGGAGCAUGUGGUUUAAUUCGAAGAUACGCGCAGAACCUUACCAACACUUGACAUGUUCGUCGCGACUUUAAGAGAUUAAAGUUUUUCGGUUCGGCCGGACGAAACACAGGUGCUGCAUGGCUGUCGUCAGCUCGUGUCGUGAGAUGUUGGUUAAGUCCCGCAACGAGCGCAACCCUCACUUUUUAGUUGCCAUCAUUUUAGUUGGGCACUCUGAAAGAACUGCCAGUGAUAAGCUGGAGGAAGGUGGGGAUGACGUCAAGUCCUCAUGGCCCUUACGUGUUGGGCUACACACGUGCUACAAUGGCGAGACAAUGAGAUGCAAAUCUGCAAAGACUAGCU
This 356-nucleotide ribosomal RNA is filed under the name uncultured bacterium. Its description in RNAcentral is "bacterial SSU rRNA". It matches the Rfam family "Bacterial small subunit ribosomal RNA", at positions 917 to 1269 of the family's 1533-position model. The record is from RNAcentral.